AGGGCAUGAAUUAUUCGACAUCCAGAAAAAGUGCUCUCAACUUUGGAUGCUAUAUUUUUUUUUGUUAAGCUCUAUUCUAAAACCAUCAGCCUAAUUAGAAAACAAACAAUGACAUUUUACAGGCUGUUAGUCUUGCGGGUGGACGAGGGCCUUAUGGUAUUUAGAAAUGUUUGGAAAACAGCCGCGGUAUUUACGUUGAGGGCGAGUGCUACCCAGCUUGCGUGCACGCCACAUCUCGGAACGCUUGGAUUUUAACACCCUCGGUCUCCACGCUGAAAAAUGUGACUGCACGUCAUUACCCCAAUUUUCCUGGGUGCUAAUAUCUCAUCCGUUGCAAAUCGCUUCUCCUGGAGACUUGGCAGCAGGGGUGCAUUUUGAUAGAUUUUAAUUUGUGUCGAUUUCCUUUCCUGUUUUGUCUUUAAAACUUGCUCAGAGUCAGUCGGGUGCAAGGGAGAGAUGUUGGCUGUGCACACGGAGGCCUGCUCGAUGCUACAUGGUUCUGCCGAUGAAGCCGCGAGUGCGUCCACAUUCACGGCUCUUCAGCUUUUCUGUCCUGCGCGCAACAGAAGGCAUCUGCACCACAAGGAGGAUGCCACAAGAGCAUCAAAUUCAACAUUUUGAAGGCACUUGGAUUCAUCCCUCCCCAGAACUCGGAACAAACACUCUAGGAACUGGCAAAAGGGCGCGCGAGGAAUUACCCUAUAAAUUCACAUUGAACUGCCCUCAGUGGCAAGAGCAUCCAUUUAUCCGGGGAAACCUGGCCAAGAGGCAGCACCUGUUUUUCCAGGAGUCUCUCCCCACUUUUUCAGCUGUGUUUGCUGAAGUACAAAGAGGCCACCUGUCUUGCCUGAGGCUGAGCUGCGAAUAAAGUAGCUCUUCUGGGAUUAGAACCCAAGGCCCA
Molecule: long non-coding RNA, 901 nt
Filed under: Crocodylus porosus (Australian saltwater crocodile)
Lineage: Eukaryota; Metazoa; Chordata; Crocodylia; Crocodylidae
Description: lncRNA (ENSCPRG00005016451.1)
Source: RNAcentral